AAUUUCCUUUGCAAUGUAUGAAAUUAAGCUUUUCGUGCUGUUACAACCUUUGAAAUAAUCUGCUUCAGUGUGAGGGUAUCUGUGGUGUGCUACAUCCAUAAGUGAGUUCCAGCGAAGAAUUGAAGAUAAUACUUUGGUCAUAUUUAUGGGUUUUGCAUGAAAAUAUGUCAUAGUGAAGAAAAAAAGAAAGAUUUCUCAGGGGACAAAAUUUUGCUUAUUCAUACCUUCUACUGUGGCAAAAAUGGAUUCUUUUCCUCACCAAAAACCAGCAGCAUAACACCCAUCCAACACCUGCCUCAAGGAACUCUCAUUAUUUAA
RNAcentral lists this long non-coding RNA (318 nucleotides) under Chloebia gouldiae (Gouldian finch). RNAcentral's name for it is "Erythrura gouldiae (Gouldian finch) lncRNA (ENSEGOG00005019522.1)". Lineage: Eukaryota; Metazoa; Chordata; Aves; Passeriformes; Passeridae. The record is from RNAcentral.